RNAcentral lists this ribosomal RNA (632 nucleotides) under Williopsis jadinii. RNAcentral's name for it is "LSU rRNA". It matches the Rfam family "Eukaryotic large subunit ribosomal RNA", at positions 1 to 643 of the family's 3401-position model. The record is from RNAcentral. Lineage: Eukaryota; Fungi; Ascomycota; Saccharomycetes; Phaffomycetales; Wickerhamomycetaceae.
ACCUCAAAUCAGGUAGGACUACCCGCUGGACUUAAGCAUAUCAAUAAGCCGGAGGAAAAGAAAGCAACCAGGGAUUGCCUCAGUAACGGCGAGUGAAGCGGCAAAAGCUCAAAUUUGAAAUCUGAGGCUCUCAGCCCCCGAGUUGUAAUUUGAAGAUGGUGUUCUGGCGCCGGCCCCCUGUCUACGUUCCUUGGAACAGGACAUCACAGAGGGUGAGAAUCCCGUCUGGCGGGGCGGCCUGGCUCCGUGUAGAGCGCCAUCGACGAGUCGAGUUGUUUGGGAAUGCAGCUCUAAGUGGGUGGUAAAUUCCAUCUAAAGCUAAAUAUUGGCGAGAGACCGAUAGCGAACAAGUACAGUGAUGGAAAGAUGAAAAGAACUUUGAAAAGAGAGUGAAAAAGUACGUGAAAUUGUUGAAAGGGAAGGGUAUUGGAUCAGACUUGGUGCUGUGCGAAUAGCGGCUCUUCUUGGGCCGCCCACUCGCACUCCACCGGGCCAGCAUCGGUUUGGGCGGCAAGACAAUGGCGGGGGAACGUGGCACUGCUCUCGGGCAGUGUGUUUAUAGCCCCCGCUGAUGUUGCCUGCCUAGACCGAGGACUGCGGCUUCUGCCUAGGAUGCUGGCGUAAUAUCCAAC